GGGAGCUCAUGCACAGCCAGGAGGAGCUGGACGUGGUGGAAGUUCUGGCCCUCCAAAUUCCCCACCCGCUGCAGAGGAUAAUUUCAUUUCAUCCAUGAAAAGGGAAGAUAAAGCCAGUGUGGGCCGGGCAGCUCUGAUCUCGUAACGCCAAGGAGCCACUUCUGCUUUCCAGAGGGAGGGAGGCAGCUCAGUGAGCACGUCAACCACGCACAGACCCAGAAACACAACUCCUAAAUAACCUCCCCAGCGUUGUCACCCUGCCACAGAGGGACUGGAAAAGUCAUGUGUGCUCUUUCGGCUGCCUACCCCAAUUUUAUCCUGUAAACACCUAAAACUCCCAAAGACUUUCUGGGCUUUUAUUUCUAUUUAGUAAUAAAUGGUAAUUGUUUAUAAAGGG
Non-coding RNA from Lonchura striata (white-rumped munia), 397 nucleotides. NCBI's taxonomy places the organism in Eukaryota, Metazoa, Chordata, Aves, Passeriformes, Estrildidae. The record is from RefSeq and is a predicted model, not a curated record.